CUUUUAUCAAGAAGGUGGAGGGACUGGCCCUAUGAAGCCUAGCAACAGCUCAAAUUUGAGAAUUGUGCUAAAUCCUGCAGAAAUAAUUUUCUGAGAGAUAAGAG
Molecule: non-coding RNA, 104 nt
Filed under: Clostridium colicanis 209318
Lineage: Bacteria; Bacillati; Bacillota; Clostridia; Eubacteriales; Clostridiaceae
Description: SAM riboswitch aptamer (S box leader)
Rfam family: SAM riboswitch aptamer (S box leader)
About the family: The SAM riboswitch is found upstream of a number of genes which code for proteins involved in methionine or cysteine biosynthesis in Gram-positive bacteria.
Source: Rfam by way of RNAcentral